RNAcentral lists this unclassified non-coding RNA (261 nucleotides) under uncultured fungus. Its description in RNAcentral is "sequence contains ITS1". Lineage: Eukaryota; Fungi. The record is from RNAcentral.
UUUAGCUAUUUAAUAUUUACUCAGACUACAUGGUUUCAAACGAGUUUGUAUGGGUCUCUGACGGGCGCGCACCAGCCGAAGCCGGCGGGGCCUAGGGCCCGGGCCCGCCAAAGCAACAUGGUAUAUUCACAAAGGGUUGGAGGGUCGGGCCCCCGAGGGGACCCUAACUCUUUUAAUGAUCCUUCCGCAGGUUCACCUAGAAUAAUGUUAGCAAAGGUCGUCGAAUAAGGAGGGCUUUCGAAUACUACGUACCUACGGAAA